This 252-nucleotide ribosomal RNA is filed under the name uncultured bacterium. RNAcentral describes it as "partial 16S ribosomal RNA". It matches the Rfam family "Bacterial small subunit ribosomal RNA", at positions 524 to 776 of the family's 1533-position model. The record is from RNAcentral.
GACGGAGGGCGUGGGUGAUAUUCGUUUUGAUUGGGUGUAAAGGGUACGUAGGUGGCUUACUGUUUUUUGGCAAAAAUCGCGGAGUGUUCCUACGCGAUUGCCUUUUAAAAUGUAAGCUUGAGUUGACGAUAGGUAGGGACAAGUUCUCUUGUAGGGGUAAAAUCCAACGAUAUGAGAACGAACGUCAGCAGGCGAAGGCGCCCCUCCGGUUUCAACUGACACUAAGGUACGGAAGCUUAGGGAGCAAACGGG